Molecule: ribosomal RNA, 250 nt
Filed under: uncultured bacterium
Lineage: Bacteria
Also listed under: 1 other name
Description: partial 16S ribosomal RNA
Rfam family: Bacterial small subunit ribosomal RNA
Source: RNAcentral
GACGAACCGAGCGAACGUUGUUCGGAAUCACUGGGCUUAAAGGGCGCGUAGGCGGGCUGUCAAGUCUGGGGUGAAAUCCCACGGCUCAACCGUGGAACUGCCUUAGAUACUGACGGCCUCGAGGGAGAUAGGGGCGAGCGGAACUGUGAGUGGAGCGGUGAAAUGCGUUGAUAUUCACAGGAACUCCGGUGGCGAAGGCGGCUCGCUGGAUCUUUUCUGACGCUGAGGCGCGAAAGCUAGGGGAGCAAAC